This 856-nucleotide ribosomal RNA is filed under the name uncultured archaeon. Its description in RNAcentral is "bacterial SSU rRNA". It matches the Rfam family "Archaeal small subunit ribosomal RNA", at positions 1 to 848 of the family's 1478-position model. The record is from RNAcentral.
UUCCGGUUGAUCCUGCCGGAGGUCACUGCUAUUGGGGUUCGGCUAAGCCAUGCAAGCGGAGGGUGCGGUCGAAAGAUCGUGGCCCCGCACACGGCUCAGUAACACGUAGUCAACCUACCCUUGGGACGGGGACAACCUCGGGAAACUGAGGCUAAUACCCGAUAGGCGAGGGACGCUGGGAUGCCUCCUCGCCCAAAGCUCUGGCGCCCAAGGAUGGGACUGUGGCCUAUCAGGCUGUUGGUGGUGUAACGGACCACCAAACCUACGACGGGUACGGGCGAUGGGAGUCGGAGCCCGGAGAUGGGGACUGAGACAAGGCCCCAGGCCCUACGGGGCGCAGCAGGCGCGAAAACUCCGCAAUGCGCGCAAGCGUGACGGGGGGACCCCAAGUGCCGUUGGUCUUUCGGUCGACGGUUUUUAGGAAGUCUAAGAAGCUUCCGGAAUAAGGGCUGGGCAAGACUGGUGCCAGCCGCCGCGGUAACACCAGCAGCCCGAGUGGUGGCCACGAUUAUUGGGCCUAAAGCGCUCGUAGCCGGAUCAUCAAGUCCCUUGUGAAAUCGGGCCGCCCAACGGUUCGGCGUGCAAGGGAUACUGUUGGUCUUGAGGCCGGGAGAGGUCGGAGGUACUCCUGGGGUAGCGGUGAAAUGCUCUAAUCCUAGGGGGACCACCAGUGGCGAAGGCGUCCGACCAGAACGGACCUGACGGUGAGGGGCGAAGGCUAGGGGAGCGAAUGGGAUUAGAUACCCCGGUAGUCCUAGCUGUAAAGCAUGCGGGCUAGGUGUCUAGCGCUCCUCGAGGGCGCUAGGUGCCGGAGGGAAGCCGUUAAGCCCGCCGCCCGGGAAGUACGGCCGCAAGG